This 1343-nucleotide ribosomal RNA is filed under the name uncultured bacterium. Its description in RNAcentral is "16S ribosomal RNA". It matches the Rfam family "Bacterial small subunit ribosomal RNA", at positions 28 to 1378 of the family's 1533-position model. The record is from RNAcentral.
GACGAACGCUGUCGGCGUGCUUAACACAUGCAAGUCGAACGGAAAGGCCCUGCUUUUGUGGGGUGCUCGAGUGGCGAACGGGUGAGUAACACGUGAGUAACCUGCCCUUGACUUUGGGAUAACUUCAGGAAACUGGGGCUAAUACCGGAUAGGAGCUCCUGCUGCAUGGUGGGGGUUGGAAAGUUUCGGCGGUUGGGGAUGGACUCGCGGCUUAUCAGCUUGUUGGUGGGGUAGUGGCUUACCAAGGCUUUGACGGGUAGCCGGCCUGAGUGGGUGACCGGCCACAUUGGGACUGAGAUACGGCCCAGACUCCUACGGGAGGCAGCAGUGGGGAAUAUUGCACAAUGGGCGGAAGCCUGAUGCAGCAACGCCGCGUGCGGGAUGACGGCCUUCGGGUUGUAAACCGCUUUCGCCUGUGACGAAGCGUGAGUGACGGUAAUGGGUAAAGAAGCACCGGCUAACUACGUGCCAGCAGCCGCGGUGAUACGUAGGGUGCGAGCGUUGUCCGGAUUUAUUGGGCGUAAAGGGCUCGUAGGUGGUUGAUCGCGUCGGAAGUGUAAUCUUGGGGCUUAACCCUGAGCGUGCUUUCGAUACGGGUUGACUUGAGGAAGGUAGGGGAGAAUGGAAUUCCUGGUGGAGCGGUGGAAUGCGCAGAUAUCAGGAGGAACACCAGUGGCGAAGGCGGUUCUCUGGGCCUUUCCUGACGCUGAGGAGCGAAAGCGUGGGGAGCGAACAGGCUUAGAUACCCCGGUAGUCCACGCUGUAAACGGUGGGUACUAGGUGUGGGGUCCAUUCCACGGGUUCCGUGCCGUAGCUAACGCUUUAAGUACCCCGCCUGGGGAGUACGGCCGCAAGGCUAAAACUCAAAGGAAUUGACGGGGCCCCGCACAAGCGGCGGAGCAUGCGGAUUAAUUCGAUGCAACGCGUAGAACCUUACCUGGGUUUGACAUGGAUCGGGAGUGCUCAGAGAUGGGUGUGCCUCUUUUGGGGUCGGUUCACAGGUGGUGCAUGCCUGUCGUCAGCUCGUGUCGUGAGAUAUUGGGUUAAGUCCCGCAACGAGCGCAACCCUUGUUCACUGUUGCCAGCACGUUAUGGUGGGGACUCAGUGGAGACCGCCGGGGUCAACUCGGAGGAAGGUGGGGAUGACGUCAAGUCAUCAUGCCCCUUAUGUCCAGGGCUUCACGCAUGCUACAAUGGCUGGUACAGAGAGUGGCGAGCCUGUGAGGGUGAGCGAAUCUCGGAAAGCCGGUCUCAGUUCGGAUUGGGGUCUGCAACUCGACCUCAUGAAGUCGGAGUCGCUAGUAAUCGCAGAUCAGCAACGCUGCGGUGAAUACGUUCCCGGG